RNAcentral lists this ribosomal RNA (253 nucleotides) under uncultured bacterium. Its description in RNAcentral is "partial 16S ribosomal RNA". It matches the Rfam family "Bacterial small subunit ribosomal RNA", at positions 524 to 776 of the family's 1533-position model. The record is from RNAcentral.
UACAGAGGGUGCAAGCGUUGUUCGGAAUUAUUGGGCGUAAAGCGCGUGUAGGCGGUGGUCCAAGUCGGGUGUGAAAGCCCUCAGCUCAACUGAGGAAGUGCGCCCGAAACUGAAUCGCUAGAGUGUCGGAGGGGAAGGCGGAAUUCCCGGUGUAGAGGUGAAAUUCGUAGAUAUCGGGAGGAACACCAGUGGCGAAGGCGGCCUUCUGGACGAACACUGACGCUGAGACGCGAAAGCGUGGGUAGCAAACAGG